UGAGGUAACGGCUCACCAAGGCAACGAUGCGUAGCCGACCUGAGAGGGUGAUCGGCCACACUGGGACUGAGACACGGCCCAGACUCCUACGGGAGGCAGCAGUAGGGAAUCUUCCGCAAUGGACGAAAGUCUGACGGAGCAACGCCGCGUGAGUGAUGAAGGCUUUCGGGUCGUAAAACUCUGUUGUUAGGGAAGAACAAGUGCUAGUUGAAUAAGCUGGCACCUUGACGGUACCUAACCAGAAAGCCACGGCUAACUACGUGCCAGCAGCCGCGGUAAUACGUAGGUGGCAAGCGUUAUCCGGAAUUAUUGGGCGUAAAGCGCGCGCAGGUGGUUUCUUAAGUCUGAUGUGAAAGCCCACGGCUCAACCGUGGAGGGUCAUUGGAAACUGGGAGACUUGAGUGCAGAAGAGGAAAGUGG
RNAcentral lists this ribosomal RNA (420 nucleotides) under uncultured bacterium. Its description in RNAcentral is "bacterial SSU rRNA". It matches the Rfam family "Bacterial small subunit ribosomal RNA", at positions 253 to 664 of the family's 1533-position model. The record is from RNAcentral.